RNAcentral lists this transfer RNA (62 nucleotides) under Didymobothrium rudolphii. RNAcentral's name for it is "tRNA-Val". Lineage: Eukaryota; Metazoa; Platyhelminthes; Cestoda; Spathebothriidea; Acrobothriidae. The record is from RNAcentral.
UGCGGAAUAAUUUAUAUAAAUUAUUUAUUUUACACAUAAAAGAACCCSAAAGGGUUUCGCAA